UUCCUACGGGGGGCAGCAGUGGGGAAUAUUGCACAAUGGGGGAAACCCUGAUGCAGCGACGCCGCGUGAGCGAUGAAGUAUUUCGGUAUGUAAAGCUCUAUCAGCAGGGAAGAAAAUGACGGUACCUGACUAAGAAGCCCCGGCUAACUACGUGCCAGCAGCCGCGGUAAUACGUAGGGGGCAAGCGUUAUCCGGAUUUACUGGGUGUAAAGGGAGCGUAGACGGCAUAGCAAGUCUGAAGUGAAAGCCCGUGGCUCAACCGCGGAACUGCUUUGGAAACUGUUAAGCUGGAGUACUGGAGAGGG
This 305-nucleotide ribosomal RNA is filed under the name uncultured bacterium. Its description in RNAcentral is "bacterial SSU rRNA". It matches the Rfam family "Bacterial small subunit ribosomal RNA", at positions 336 to 658 of the family's 1533-position model. The record is from RNAcentral.